CCUAAUCAUAACCCUUAACUUAAAACCCUAAACUCUAAACCUAAAAACCUUAAACCCUAAACCUAAAACCCCCAAAACCUAAACCUAAAAACCCUAAACACUAAACUUAAAAACUCCAAACCCUAAUAAUUAACUUAAAAACCACAAACCCUAAACCUAAAAACCAUAAACCCUUAACUUAAAAACCACAAACCCUAAACUUAAAAACCCUAAACCGUUAAUACUGUACCUGCAGCACAUGUAUGUGGACCUUUGUACUUUUU
This 263-nucleotide long non-coding RNA is filed under the name Gossypium raimondii (Peruvian cotton). RNAcentral's name for it is "long non-coding RNA (GRAI_LNC003956)". Lineage: Eukaryota; Viridiplantae; Streptophyta; Magnoliopsida; Malvales; Malvaceae. The record is from RNAcentral.